CAGCAGUAGCCGCGGUAAUACGAAGGGGGCUAGCGUUGCUCGGAAUUAUUGGGCGUAAAGGGUGUGUAGGCGGCUUGACAAGUCUUGUGUGAAAUCUAUGGGCUCAACCCAUAGUCUGCACGGGAAACUGUCGGGCUUGAGAAUGGGAGAGGUGAGUGGAAUUUCCGGUGUAGCGGUGAAAUGCGUAGAUAUCGGAAGGAACACCUGUGGCGAAAGCGGCUCACUGGACCAUUUCUGACGCUGAUGCACGAAAGCUAGGGGAGCAAACAGGAUUAGAUACCCCAGUAGUCCCUGUCUCUUAUAC
RNAcentral lists this ribosomal RNA (304 nucleotides) under uncultured bacterium. RNAcentral describes it as "partial 16S ribosomal RNA". It matches the Rfam family "Bacterial small subunit ribosomal RNA", at positions 506 to 807 of the family's 1533-position model. The record is from RNAcentral.